UCGGGUUGUUAGGUGUUAGAAUCCCUAGUUACCCGAAAAAUUUGAUUGGAUCCGAUACUUAGAAAUAACCAAUCAGAUACUUUGUAACAAAUGCAACACAAUCAGUGCGUUCAGUAAGUAUAACGUUUCAAGAUGGCGGAGCGAAUUGCAUGGUUAUUGUUUCUACUCGAUGGAUUCGCAGAUAAUUCGGAAAUAGAUCAGAUUGGGAUCAAUAACUGUAUUGCAUACGAUCAUUUACAUGUAUUACCAGGUGUGUGUUGCCAGUAAUGGUUGAAGAUAUGCCAAACAAAUUGUGCCUCUCUAUACAGACAGAUUUCAGGUCUCAAUUUCGACUUCAAAGGUCAACAUAUCACUGAUAUCAGAUAUUCUGUACAACUGUGGAACCAUGUAUGGUACGUGACCGCACAAUGUUGGUUGGCAAAAGGAUAUUGGAAUAAGCAAAGGGACUCAACAUUACACAGUCAUUUCAACAUGUAGAGUCUUGUCAGCAAUGAUGGAGCAGUACUUCAGAUUUCCAGAAUCUCGUCAUGAGCUGAAGAUCAUUGCCUAUGAAUUUCAUGAAUGAUGUAGAAUGAUUGGACUGUUGAUGGAACCCACAGUGCAUGUCCUGCUUCAACAUCGGAGCAUAGGUCCUUGUUUAUCAGCAGUUUAGUUCUUUAAGCAGUCUGUGACAGUUACUUGAAAUGUUUGGACAUAUGACCUGGAUGGCCAAGUUCUGUGCAUGAUGCCCAUUUAAAUAGGAACGGCCCAGUGGCGCAUUAAAUGGACAUUUUUCGAAUGUUCUCGAGGAUUCAGCUUACCGCCUGACAAGAAAUCUUGCUUUUUGUUCAGUAUCGAGGCCAUGGACAUUUGUAUCAUUUGCAAAAGAUACUGCGAUAUUUGUGCCUUUGUUCAUGCUUUAUAGUUGAUUAACAAUUGGAAGCCAUAACCUGUUUUUAAGAUGGUGUUAGUGGGACAAUGAAUUUUGUAAAGAUUUAAAGACUGGAAAAGAUAAUUAAAAGUCAAAAGAGUUCUGCUAUUGUUAAGCAUGCUUUAUUGAUU
Long non-coding RNA from Dreissena polymorpha, 1041 nucleotides. RefSeq lists it as uncharacterized. The transcript has 4 exons. The record is from RefSeq and is a predicted model, not a curated record. Lineage: Eukaryota; Metazoa; Mollusca; Bivalvia; Myida; Dreissenidae.